Molecule: ribosomal RNA, 253 nt
Filed under: uncultured bacterium
Lineage: Bacteria
Description: partial 16S ribosomal RNA
Rfam family: Bacterial small subunit ribosomal RNA
Source: RNAcentral
UUCAGAGGGUGCGAGCGUUAAUCGGAAUUACUGGGCGUAAAGCGCACGUAGGUGGCGACGUAAGUCGGGUGUGAAAGCCCCGGGCUCAACCUGGGAAUUGCAUUCGAGACUGCAUUGCUGGAGUACGGAAGAGGAGGGCGGAAUUCCCGGUGUAGCGGUGAAAUACGUAGAUAUCGGGAGGAACAUCAGUGGCGAAGGCGGCCCUCUGGUCCAGUACUGACAAUCAAGUGCGAAAGAGUGGGGAGCAAACAGG